GUGCGUGUAGAUUAUAUUUUUAGUUAGAUCGUAAGGCUGUUAACUUUAAGGAGGAGGUUUCCCACGAACG
This 70-nucleotide transfer RNA is filed under the name Hypoderaeum conoideum. RNAcentral's name for it is "tRNA-Asn". Lineage: Eukaryota; Metazoa; Platyhelminthes; Trematoda; Plagiorchiida; Echinostomatidae. RNAcentral also lists the same sequence under 1 other name. The record is from RNAcentral.